This is a long non-coding RNA of Galeopterus variegatus (Sunda flying lemur), 328 nucleotides long. RefSeq lists it as uncharacterized. Lineage: Eukaryota; Metazoa; Chordata; Mammalia; Dermoptera; Cynocephalidae. The transcript is spliced from 2 exons. The record is from RefSeq and is a predicted model, not a curated record.
UAUUUCUCUCUUGUUGCUGGCAUAAUCAACUUUGUCAAAGAGUCAUAUGGUUUGUGCAACCAUAAAGAUAGUCUUGGAACACUGAUACAUAUUUGGAUGGAAAAUUGCCUUUCUGCAAUUGUGUUAUGGCUACAUUGCAAUUAGGAAAUGGAAAAUGAAUAUCUGAGAUCCAACAAAAUCUGGUCUCAUCAGCAUCAGAACCAUGUAUGGAAAGAGAAAACAAAACACAGACUUAAGAGGAUGGCAAAAAAGAAAGACCAGCAGGAAUGGAAAAAAUACUCAUAAGUGGUGCAGUUGAACUUUGGGAAUAAACCAGCCUUAGCAAAAA